AUCAACUUUCGAUGGUAGGAUAGAGGCCUACCAUGGUGGUAACGGGUAACGGGGUGUUAGGGCACGACACCGGAGAGGGAGCCUGAGAAACGGCUACCACAUCCAAGGAUGGCAGCAGGCGCGCAAAUUACCCAAUCCCGACACGGGGAGGUAGUGACAAUAAAUAACAAUACGGGGUUCUUUCGGAUCUCGUAAUUGGAAUGAGUACAAUUUAAAUCUCUUAACGAGGAACAAUUGGAGGGCAAGUCUGGUGCCAGCAGCCGCGGUAAUUCCAGCUCCAAUAGCGUAUAUUAAAGUUGUUGCAGUUAAAAAGCUCGUAGUUGAAUUUCGGGAUCAGUAGGUCGGUCAUGCCUAUGGUAUGUACUGGCUUUACUGAUUCCUCCUUCUUGAUGAUCUGUAAUGUCAUUAAUUUGGUGUUGCAGGGAGUCAGGACUGUUACUUUGAAAAAAUUAGAGUGUUUAAAGCAGGCAUACGCUUGAAUACAUUAGCAUGGAAUAAUGAAAUAGGACGUUCGAUCCUAUUUUGUUGGUUUCUAGGAUUGACGUAAUGAUUAAUAGGGAUAGUUGGGGGCAUUAGUAUUCAAUUGUCAGAGGUGAAAUUCUUGGAUUUAUUGAAGACUAACUACUGCGAAAGCAUUUGCCAAGGAUGUUUUCAUUAAUCAAGAACGAAAGUUAGGGGAUCGAAGACGAUCAGAUACCGUCGUAGUCUUAACCAUAAACUAUGCCGACUAGGGAUCGGAUGAUGUUAUUUUUAAUGACUCAUUCGGCGCCUUACGGGAAACCAAAGUGUUUGGGUUCA
Molecule: ribosomal RNA, 798 nt
Filed under: uncultured Glomus
Lineage: Eukaryota; Fungi; Glomeromycota; Glomeromycetes; Glomerales; Glomeraceae
Description: SSU rRNA
Rfam family: Eukaryotic small subunit ribosomal RNA
Source: RNAcentral